Dromaius novaehollandiae (emu) is the source of this 5389-nucleotide long non-coding RNA. RefSeq lists it as uncharacterized. The transcript is spliced from 2 exons. The record is from RefSeq and is a predicted model, not a curated record. NCBI's taxonomy places the organism in Eukaryota, Metazoa, Chordata, Aves, Casuariiformes, Dromaiidae.
CGCGGCGGCAGGAAGAGGCGGAAGUCGGCGAGCUUGGCGAACCAGCGCAGCCGCGCCUCGUCGCCGCGCAGCAGCUCGGUAUUUGAAGAGCCUUCUGGGAGCCAGGUGGGAAACAGCCCUUUCUCCUCUUAAACCUGUUGCUGUGAUUUCGAAAGCAAGCGAAGGCACGGAGGGUGUCCCAGCCCUUCUCUUCAGAGCAUCAGGGAGGAAAAGCAAUUUUUCAAACACUUUGAACACCAGCACAGCCUCCACACGUAGCACGUGAGGAUAAAAGGGGAUGUUCGCCUCUUGCAUGAUGUAAAAGCAGGCUUUAAUCCUGCAGCACCAGGGCCACGUUCGGAGGCUGCCUUAUUUGCUACAUGAGGGUCCCCUGCCGUAAAGCAGAUUUUUAACUAGCUGGGACAAACUGGGGACCCCCCCACAGUGGAUCUGGCCAUGAAUUUUAAGGACUGAGCUGCCUUGAAGCGGUCCCACAAGCCGGAUCUGACCCAAGAGUCACCAGUGAAACCAUCCUGUUGCAAACUCCAUUUGCUACUGGAAAUACUUAGCUGCACAGGGGAACAUGCAUGGACCAGGUCUCCGUGGUGCACCGUGUGGGUCUCAUACACACCAGCACCCACGUUCGUACACACCGGGGAGCUACAGCCAAGCUCAGAGGUCACAUUGGACGAAAUCAAUAAACGCCGUUAUUCUAGAAACUGCCCGUCUAGCAGAAACUGCCCCGGGAAGCAGAAGAGGGCAAUUCUCCAGCACGUUCAGCGGUGACCUAACCCUGGUGGGUGUCCACCUCGCAGCGUGGCAGAGCGAAGGCGCCCGCAAAACAGCCUCUAGCUCCCCGGGUGCACAUCACCGCACGUCAGGAGACACGUAUAGCUGUUCUCAGAUACCGGGGGCUUUCCGGUGACGUUUCCCUGGGACGACUACCCCCUUCUGAAAAGCCAAAGAGAAUCCCUCACUUGGUCAGAAACUUGAAUUCCCAUCAAAACUAUUUCAAAGGGAAAAUCGGGACAGCCCAAAAGUUACCAGCCUGAUUCAGUUCCUUGCAAACUCGGUGGGAAUAUCACCAUGUAUUUUGGCGUGAAUUCAUGUAGGCGAGCCCAAGUUUUGGCCGCAACGGUGAAUUCAGGGGCCUCUGCACCGCUUUCCCGAGGGCAGCAGCUCCCGCAGGAGAGCAUCGGGCCCCACCGGGCUUCUUCCCUUCUUCUUGGCUCUGGCCAGGACUGGAUCAACGCGAAAAGACGGUCUCCGCUAAUAUUCCUGCUCUCUGGCACGGGUAGAGCCUAUCUCCAGGUUUCCCCGGCAGGACAGAGCGGAGCUGCCGGGGGGUCAGGGAAGAGCUACCUGCGGAGCUGCCGCGCGGAAAGCAUCCCCGGAGCAUCACUCUGGCAGGCUAAUGGGUGACAGCAGUUGUGUGGGAAGACUAAUGGAGAAAAGGUUUGAUAAAAUAGAAGCACCAUCCCUAAGUUUUUCUUUUUCCUGAUGCUUUUUUGCAGUUAUGUAAUUUUAAAAUGACAUUGAUUUAAAAAAAAAAAAAGGAGGAAGAAGAAUGGGAAACUUUGAACACUUAAGGCCGGAUGCUGCUCGCGCUGUCAGCAGUGAAACUUCCCCCAAACUUCGGAGGAGUCUCUGCACUUUUUCCGGGGGGGGAAAUGGGGAACAGGAUUUGGCCCAGCACCCUUAAGAGGCUUUAACUGCCACUGGCAGAUCAGAGGGAGAGGGAAGCAUCACCGAGGGGGCUGCGCCGGCACGCUCUGCAAAGUGCCGGCAGUUUGCAUCCGGCAGAUCCCGCCGGUGUGUCGUUACUGUGCCGACGGCGGCUUUCGGGGGCUCCCGGGUGCUGCGACCAAAACAAAGGGAGCCCUUCGACGGGAGAAGCCAAAAAGGAAGGAAAGCACAGGAGAAAGCUCCUCGCCUCCUCCGAGAGGGGGUACGGACUGGCUCUGCCUUCACACCCCAAGAAGCUGCCAGAAUUAUUUCCCUCGACGAAACGUUCUCCACCCUUUUUUGAGCGUUUCGAGAUGCCAUGCCGAUGCUUUUCCCCCAUUAAGACCUUUUGUCUCCGGGAUGCUUUUCAUGGGGAACGACCCAACCCGAGGUAUAAAGCCUCUGCGGAAAAUUAAGACAGGUUUAUUGGCAACGUACCGAGCGCUUCCGAAAGCAAAGCGCAGAGCUCGUCUGCUCGUGGCUUUUCAAGCCGUCCCCUCCGCUCCUGGCCUGCCCGGUCCCUUCCUCCUUCCCGUCUCCACGAAAUCUCUCCCACGUCGCGGGAGCUGUUUUAAUUUUGCCGUUAAUCUCGUAAACAAAGCGCUAGCGGGAAGCGGCUUCUCUUGCACCAGCGAGCGCGGCUCUAAAACCUGGGGAUCGAACGUGUCCCCGUCUCCUUCCCACCCUGGCCAACAUCGGUUUCUUGGUGCAACGGAAGGUGAUGGCAGUCGAGGGGGGGUUCAAGCAAGGGCUGCAAAUCUGCCCAGUUGCACAUAGCUCUCCAAAAAGGCCUCUCAGUCCUUCCGCAGAAUAGGAAAAAAAGCAGAACUUAAUUUUCCUUACUGCUACUCCUGAACAUUAGGAGCCGAAUACUCCCCCAUUCCUCACUUAGCCACUGGAGAUAUGACAUAUUAGCUUUAUCACAUCUCUAAGAUGGCUGCAAAGGGACUGAGAUGAAACAUUUUCAUGGGGACACUAAAAAAUCCUGAAUGUGAUCCUGACGAUGGGCGAUUUUCGCGACAAUAGGAUUUUUUUUUCCCCCAUGUGCAUCAGCAUCACAGUAUGUAAUAAGUCCCUAGCGAAUUGUUCCCAGAAUAAUUGCACAAGACAAAUAAUCAGUAUUUCCAAUUUGGGUUUUUUUUUUUUUCCGCUCUUCUGGAUGAAGUAAUGCGGUGCUUCUCUGUGAUAAUGAGAAACACCUGAUGCUGGCUUUAGAAAAAGAAGGAAGCACGCAAAAUAUUGAUCUCGAAGCCAAAUUACUGGGAAAAUUGGCAUCCUGCGCCUGGAAGAAUGAGCCCGGGCUCCCCGGCACUCACGAACCUGCCUGCGGCCGGGCUCCCAGGUGCCUCUCCAGCCCCUCCAGCAGCACGGAGGUGCUCGGCAGACGCGUCCCCUCUGGCACCCGCAGCGCUCUCCGGAGGGCAAACCCGGAAAAAUCCACUAAAACUAGCAGGUAAGGUCUAAACAAGCAGAAAAACACACUGCUCUGCACCACACAGUGAAGACUCGGCUGAGGGCUAUUAAAGCAGAGAAGCCACCUUAGAUAGGUCGUGCUUAGGUAGUCCCUGACCACAGACUGAUGGAGGUGAGCAGAGCAUUUGGGGGAAACAUCGUUACAUGCUCUCCUCAUUCUUAUCCUCUUCUUUAGGCAUGUUAUUGUCCGAGACAGGAUAUUGGAGAGGACGGACUCACGGUCUGAUUUAAUACAGCUACCCUCGUACUCUCGCGUUACGCGCCUGACAAUCUCUCCGGGCUGUGGACUGCGCGCGGGGACCCGCUCGGCGCUAGUGGAGAAUCUCACUCUGUGGCUAUCCUAAUACCCAGCCACAGCUACCAGGUCUCGUCUCAAUGACUCAAAUAAUCAACAAUAAUUAAUGCAAUGAGGUGACAUAAGAGCCUGGAAGCAGCAGGAAUCCUCCACGGCCGGCACGUACGGGACCAGAGGCGUUAUAUAGAUUAUAAGCGUUAUAUAGAUUGGUAAGCUCAGCUGCCAUUAUAUAAAGACAUAAUAAUGAAUUUCUUGAAAACGUUAAGAAUCGGCUGCCUGUUGGCUGCUUAUAACCCCGCCAGCAUCCAGAGCAACCGCCCAGUGCAGCCCAGUGCAGCUUCCCGGUGUACUGGGUUUGCCGGCAGCCGGAGGAGUGGUGCACAAGGGUGCACGAGGCAGAGCUCAGGGCUGUUGCAGCACCGAAAGCACCAGGGUGAGCGUCCAGAAAUCGCUCUUCCGAGCAAAGCCCAUGUUCACCCCGACUUCCCAGCGUGACGGGUGCCGGGAGCAGCCAGCGUCUCGCCCAGGCUGGUGGCAGCCAGGGAGCCCGUCCCCCGAAUUGUCGCGGGUUUGCAUCCGCUCAGGCUUGAGGAUGCAGCAGCACGUAAAUGAUGCUGCUAAUGUUAAGCCAGCCUGAUAGGGCUGGAUCUCCUCACACAAGUCCCUUUAUAUUUCUCUGCUAGUAUAAAAGAGGUCGUAAAGGUAAUACACGCCUAGAGCAAUGGGACAUGGCUUCAGCGUGACCUAGGAGCUUCCCAUCUCCCGCAGGUUUGGACCAACUUUCUCAGUUCUGCUGCUGCAACCCUGACGCACCCCCACGAGCUUCGGCGGUGAAAAGUCAGACGAGCACAUGGCCCGGAGCUACUAUCAUGAGUAACAGCUUCAUGCCUCUUAAAAGGGACUGAAUCAGCUACCAGAAUAACUCUGGGCUUCUAUAUCCAGGCAGCGGUUUAUCUGCCCCAGAUUCAUCAAAGCUUCGUGAGCGUGAGGGUUUGUGUACACACGCUGUGCUUGCUUUUAUAAUUAUCGUCUCUUGGUUGUCUUACAAACGGUAGUCGCCUUAAGGGUGAUAGUCUGAGCAAAUUUCACUGUUUGUUAAGAAAACAGCACGGGCCUGAUUACGAGCUGAGAUAUACCUAUCGUUAAGGCAGAGAUCUGCUGAAUUCAGGAGCAUUAUACCCAUGCUGAAAUGGGUGAGAGCGUGCUCAGAAGACAACUGCGGCAGCCGAGAUUUAUUUUUAAUCAUUUUUGAGGGAUGAAUGUGAAGACGGCAACUUUCAAACAGGAGAUGUAGUUUCCCAAGCGCCACUUCCCACCGUGCUGGAUGGUGGGAGAGGAGAAACGCAGCCGAGGUGGGAGCAGGCACCUCCAGCUGCUGGGACGCGGGGUGAGCAGAGCGGGGCCGAGGCGCUGGUCCCCACCCACCCCAUCCCCUGGAUGCACAUCCAGUGGUGAAACUCCCUUUUGCUUCACUGGUAUCAGGGUUCACCCUAUUAAAAGGCAGAUAGUAACCAACAGCUCAGCACAGUGCGAGGCACCCCAGGACCAUGUGGUGUCCCUCAGCAAUUCGGUGGCAUUUUGGAGCCCAGGGUUGUGAGGUGUGACCACCUUCGUGUGACCACGGGUGUCCAUUGCGUUAUCUCAUCUCGCAUUGCCCAGGUAGCGACCAGGGACAAGGUACCACCGUUUCCUGGCCCUCCACAGAGAUGGGAGUUGGAAAAGGGAUGGAUCCGAAUCCAAGAUUUCUUCCGCUUUCAGGCUCUGUCAUUUUUUUAGUUUGCCUGAUGUUUUCCAUGUGUUUCGCUGGAGCUGUCAGUAUUUGAAGAAGGCGUGGCACGUGGUCAUAAAUAAUCAUUAUCUCCCCCAGAACCUCCUAGUCUCAACAUUUCAAAUAAAUAGAUGUUAAUCUCCUAAAAC